RNAcentral lists this ribosomal RNA (425 nucleotides) under uncultured bacterium. RNAcentral's name for it is "bacterial SSU rRNA". It matches the Rfam family "Bacterial small subunit ribosomal RNA", at positions 354 to 796 of the family's 1533-position model. The record is from RNAcentral.
GUGGGGAAUAUUGGACAAUGGGCGCAAGCCUGAUCCAGCCAUGCCGCGUGAGUGAUGAAGGCCUUAGGGUUGUAAAGCUCUUUCAGUGGGGACGAUAAUGACGGUACCCACAGAAGAAGCCCCGGCUAACUUCGUGCCAGCAGCCGCGGUAAUACGAAGGGGGCUAGCGUUGUUCGGAUUUACUGGGCGUAAAGCGCACGUAGGCGGAUCGUUAAGUCGGGGGUGAAAUCCUGGAGCUCAACUCCAGAACUGCCUUCGAUACUGGCGAUCUUGAGUCCGGAAGAGGUGAGUGGAACUCCUAGGGUAGCGGUGGAAUUCGUAGAUAGUAGGAAGAACACCAGUGGCGAAGGCGGCUCACUGGUCCGGUACUGACGCUGAGGUGCGAAAGCGUGGGGAGCAAACAGGAUUAGAAACCCGGGUAGUCC